Long non-coding RNA from Dicentrarchus labrax (European seabass), 2457 nucleotides. RefSeq lists it as uncharacterized. The transcript is spliced from 2 exons. Lineage: Eukaryota; Metazoa; Chordata; Actinopteri; Moronidae. The record is from RefSeq and is a predicted model, not a curated record.
UGUUACUUUCUCUGUCCACCAGCUCUUCAGACAGUCUUUACAGAAGCUGUGGCUACAUGACAGGAUGACCGGAUCUUUAAAGAUGUCGUGGCAGACAGGACAGCAGAGAUCUUCCUCUAAUCUGGAAGCCAUUUUGUCUGUGAGUGCAGCUGAAAGCACAGCAGGCAGCUCCAACAGGAAACCAGUCAGUCACUCCCUGUUCUCUGAAAGUUACUUUCACUUUGAGUCUUCUUGAAGAUGAAUCUUAUUGUCUGUCUCUGUCUGUGUGAAGCAGAAGAACAACCUUGGUUUCCUGGAGUAUUUGUUGGAGUAUUUGGAAUUUGCACUUGAAUUCUUGGGAGUUCCAAGUCCGGCAGAGUCAGCUAAUGGGACCGCUGUAGCAGAUUGAUUGGAGGGACGUAGCACACAUUCAGCGGUAUUGGCCGCAACAAGUCCCUGCCUGGCUACCAAGUUUUUACAGGAAACAUGUAAAUAUGAGGAAGCAAACAGCACUGUGCUUCCUGUUUCAUGGUAACUUUAAGGCUAGGCUAGUAGUGGUGAUGGUUAGAUUAGCGGGUUAGUUUAUGUCUCCAGAAAAUGAAUGCAAGUCUAUGUCCCCAAAAGUGACAUAAGUAAAAGUGUGUGGGUGUGGGUGUGUACUGAGCCUUGCUGUCAGCAGCCCUCAUUAUUCUGUCGGCACGCCUUGUACGGUAACUCGGGCUGUAUGUGUGGGUGUGUGUGUGCUGUCCUGGCCUCCUGCCAAGCAUAAGGCGCCACUUUAUGAGUAUGAUGAUCUCACCUCGACCCACCUCCAAAACACUGUGUGUAUUCAGCAGUGUGUGUUUGUUUAUGUGUAAAAGAUGAAUGUGUGGUUCAGCAUGUUUUAUAAAGAGCAGUUGUGUAAAAGAGAGAGAGUGAACAGUUGGUCUGCAUGUUGUUUAUUGAACAGCUGCAGAAACAGUCAGCAGGAUGCUGACUAACUGCUGAGCCAACAAGAAGUAACAUGUAAAUCAGACAGAUUUUAAUUUGUCCUUCUGAGUCCUGUUGAUUCAGGAAAAGAAAGACUAACAGGGUUUCACCACAGUUUGGAGAUUUUAGUUGUUUUAAAUUUUACUUAUUAAACUUAAUGUUCAAACUCAGAGAAAUCAUCAUUUCAUUCAGGUGACGGGUUAAAUAGCUGAUACAAAUGGACUUUUCAUCCAGUCUGCAGCCACAUGUUUACCAUCUGCUGCUUCACCACCUCAUCACACUUCCUCUUCUGUUAUUGUUUUGAUGGGAGAGACCCCUGGUGGCAGAAAUACUGAAAAUACAGACAUUUAGAGAGCGAGUAGAAAGGUUUUAUUAUCAGAAUUAUUCACAACUUGUUAAUCACAUCCAGAGAAUAAAUAUUAAUAUUAAAGUAAAAUAAAGACAUCAUAUGAUCAUUGAAUCAAACUGUACAGAGAAACACUGCUGUUGUUCCUCAUUAGAAACAUUGAUGAGCAGGUUGAUGUUGAGGACACUGCUCAUGUUCAGGUGAUAAUUAACAAUAUUUUCCUCAAAUGUCUUUUUGCCGCUAAAACUCAUCAGUUUUUAGUUUUGUUCUUGUAGAAAAUCUGAAUACUGGUAACCCUUUAGCACAAAACUGCUUAAAUAUUAAGAUUUACUGAAGAGUGAAAUACAUAAAUAUCAUCAGCCUUUCAAAGAUCAGUCGAGUAAAGGUUGUCAAAGAUCAACAACCACGGCUGCAGUUCAUCUAACGUCCACCAGAGGAUACUCCAAGAAGUGAAUGGCAGAUGAUUUCACCUCUGAUAUUGAGAAUUACUGAACAUGAGAAGUAAUUCUCAGCACUCAGUCACCCAAACGUCCACGUUGAAUCAACUCUCUGUGAGCCAGACACUUUGCUCUCCUCCUUCUGCAGAGUCUCAGUCCACAGAUUGUAGCUUCGUCCAAUAAAUAUGUGAACAGACUAGAAAGGCUCUGACACAUCUGUCUGGACAAACAGAUGUCAGACUGAAAGAGGGACGUCGGUCGCGCUCAAAGAUACAGACUUGGGAUUCUUAUUGUGAGUUCUCUUUGGAAAUGAAUGAGGGUAUCAUACAAUAUUACCGCCGGCAUUCAGCACUCAUUUGUCAGGAUCUCUGCGUCAUUCUUCAUUCUGUUGUUGCUGUGCACCUGUCUGUCUGUCUCUCUCUCUGUCUGUCUGUCUGUCUGUCUGUCUGUCUCUCUCUCUCUCUCUCUCUCUCUCUCUCUCUCACCCCAACUGGUCGAGACAGACGACCACCCACCUAGAGCCGAAGCGUCUGUCCGAGGUUUCUGCCUCUUAAAGGGAAGUUUUUCCUUGCUGCUGUCGCCAAGGUCUUGCUCAUGGUGGUACUGUUGGGUCUCUGUAAAUAAUGUUAUAAGGAGUUCGGUCUAGACCUGCUCUAUUUAAAAAGUGUCCUGAGAUAACUUCUGUUAUGAAUUGGAGCUAUACAAAUAAAAUUGAAUUGAAUUGAA